RNAcentral lists this unclassified non-coding RNA (587 nucleotides) under Hevea brasiliensis (rubber tree). Lineage: Eukaryota; Viridiplantae; Streptophyta; Magnoliopsida; Malpighiales; Euphorbiaceae. The record is from RNAcentral.
GAAAAAGCAAUUUCAUUUCUGCUUAGCACAAGUUUCUGCACUUUUAAUAAGACGAAAAGAAACAAUUGAUAAAAUUUCUAAGGCUACCAUUUGGAAGAUCAGGUCCACAAUGACAAAAAACAAUAGCAUCGCGCAACUGCCUUUUGAGUCUGAAUUCGUGCUAUAUUUGAUCAAGUAUUACAGACCAUCUCAGAAAAAUGAUGUUCAUCAAGAACUUGGAGAAACCAACCACCUCUGUAUCUAAUUUCAUUCAAAGCAUGCCCAUCUGCAACGACACUCGAUUCAAGUUACUUUCUUCCCCUGCUAAGCCUCUGCAGAUGAUAAUUGAUGCUACCCCAGGGCUUUCUGUUUUUGCCACUCUGAGCUUCCAUGCAGGUACUCAAAAGUGACUUUUGCCUGCCACAUUUCUCAUCCUUGUUGUGAUUUAAAGUCAAACAAUUAAGAAACGAGACCAUUUCUUUCGCACAAGGUUUCUGAAGACUUCCAAAGUUCCUUGGGUUAAUAUAUAAGGUGCCAGCUUUGCGUCCCAUACUUCCUCAGAUCUAUAAGUAAAUUAGCCGGAGAAAAUGAGAGGAGCGAGUUCGCCG